Molecule: long non-coding RNA, 340 nt
Organism: Rosa rugosa (rugosa rose)
Lineage: Eukaryota; Viridiplantae; Streptophyta; Magnoliopsida; Rosales; Rosaceae
Exons: 2
Source: RefSeq, a predicted model, not a curated record
UCAAAAAAAAAACCCAGUUCGACCCUUUCCGUCAUUCGGCAACCACAAAAAACGCGAGCAGCCGAGCACAGCAGCCUCCCUUUUCGUGCACCCUUUUCUUUUCCGUCACCCAAAACCUAACUCUCUCUCUCUCUCUCAUCUCUCUCUGCGCGCCCAAUUUCUCAAGGUAUUGCUAGAGGGUGUGGGUGGCAGCACAUAGGGGCUUACACAGCUACUCUGACAAGUUUCUAGGCAAGAAAGAGCUCAUCUCCUUUGUAAAGCAGCAAUUUUAUCCUGAUAAAAUGUUCAGAAUUUUGUUCAAAUAUUGUUUCAGUAUCAAAUAAAUUCAUGUACGUCUUCA